RNAcentral lists this ribosomal RNA (468 nucleotides) under uncultured bacterium. RNAcentral's name for it is "partial 16S ribosomal RNA". It matches the Rfam family "Bacterial small subunit ribosomal RNA", at positions 28 to 507 of the family's 1533-position model. The record is from RNAcentral.
GACGAACGCUGGCGGCGUGCUUAACACAUGCCAGUCGAACGGAGAGGCCCUGCUUUUGUGGGGUGCUCGAGUGGCGAACGGGUGAGUAACACGUGAGUAACCUGCCCUUGACUUUGGGAUAACUGCAGGAAACUGGGGCUAAUACCGGAUAGCAGCUCCUGGCGCAUGGUGGGGGUUGGAAAGUUUCGGCGGUUGGGGAUGGACUCGCGGCUUAUCAGCUUGUUGGUGGGGUAGUGGCUUACCAAGGCGUUGACGGGUAGCCGGCCUGAGAGGGUGACCGGCCACACUGGGACUGAGAUACGGCCCAGACUCCUACGGGAGGCAGCAGUGGGGAAUAUUGCACAAUGGGCGGAAGCCUGAUGCAGCAACGCCGCGUGCGGGAUGACGGCCUUCGGGUUGUAAACCGCUUUCGCCUGUGACGAAGCGUGAGUGACGGUAAUGGGUAAAGAAGCACCGGCUAACUACGUG